Clupea harengus (Atlantic herring) is the source of this 1004-nucleotide long non-coding RNA. The record is from Ensembl. Lineage: Eukaryota; Metazoa; Chordata; Actinopteri; Clupeiformes; Clupeidae.
AUGGUUAAGGCUGAAGAGUGGCACCUUUUUCUAGAUAAGAAGAAUUACACUCAUACAUUAAUUAUACAUUGUAUGUUUGAUGUAUAAAAAAAAAAAGCAGCAAGUUCAAUCGACUUUUGAGUAGCACUUUGCCUUUAAUUUUGACAUUUUUAGUUGUAUGACAUACAUUUUCUUUACACGGACACUCAAACGAGGUGUGUUGGCAAUCUAUUCACAUUUUGAUUUCUCACAGUGGUAAACUUUUUGUGCCCUUAAAAAGACAGAAAGUAAAAAAAAAAGAAAACCCAGAAUAAGCAUGGAAGUCAUCCGACCUCAUGUGUAAACUAUCAGAGAGUAGGAGGGAACUCCAAUUAACUUGGGGGGGGUUUAGGGCAAACGUGCACAGUUUGCCAACACACCAUCAUCACACACAUUAGCAUUGAUAAGCCACACAGAACAUGAGCUGGAAUAGAUGUAUUCCUAUUCCAGAUGUCAGAUAUCCACGGGUGUAAAAACUAAUCGGCAGCAUUUCAGCCCUCACUCCUGUCCUUCAGUGCUUCUAUUCCCGCGCACGCGUGGUGACGGUGCUGCCAUGGUGACACAUCAACAUGAAACGACUUCAUUGGUUCAGUGAAACAAUUCAGAGCCUUUUGAAUAAAAUGUCAAAUGUAGCACGUACAUCUUUAGGAAAGAAAAAGCACACUGAACACGUAUUAAAACAUGAUUUCUGUGUUUUCCUAGAGGUGUGUAUUCAUAAGUAACCCUUUUUGAUCCCUAGUUUAUUUUCAAACGGCCUCUCUAAAGACGGUCCUCAGUGCACAGCCUUUAAACGCUGCUACCACACAGUAUUUGGAAUAAAAGGCCCAUCACUCUUUUUUUUAUUCAGACUCCGCCGGCCACUAAUCCUCAAAGCUUUGGGAGCAAAUAGUUAUUUGAACCUUCUCCAGACAUACGGAAAGUAUAGGCUGGGAGGUGUGUGUUAUUUGAACCUUCUCCAGACGUACUGAAAGUAUAGUCUGGGAGGU